Molecule: ribosomal RNA, 458 nt
Filed under: uncultured bacterium
Lineage: Bacteria
Description: partial 16S ribosomal RNA
Rfam family: Bacterial small subunit ribosomal RNA
Source: RNAcentral
CCUACGGGUGGCAGCAGUGAGGAAUAUUGGUCAAUGGGCGAGAGCCUGAACCAGCCAAGUCGCGUGAGGGAGUACUGCCCUAUGGGUUGUAAACCUCUUUUGUCGGGGAGCAAAAGCCGGACGUGUCCGGCUGUGAGAGUACACGAAGAAAAAGCAUCGGCUAACUCCGUGCCAGCAGCCGCGGUAAUACGGAGGAUGCGAGCGUGAUCCGGAUUUAUUGGGUUUAAAGGGUGCGCAGGCGGAUUUUUAAGUCAGCGGUAAAAUCGUGGGGCUCAACCCCAUCCAGCCGUUGAAACUGGGGAUCUAGAGUGUGCGAGAGGUAUGCGGAAUGCGUGGUGUAGCGGUGAAAUGCAUAGAUAUCACGCAGAACCCCGAUUGCGAAGGCAGCAUACCGGUGCACAACUGACGCUCAGGCACGAAAGCGUGGGUAUCGAACAGGAUUAGAUACCCUUGUAGUC